Non-coding RNA from Heterocephalus glaber (naked mole-rat), 925 nucleotides. The record is from RefSeq and is a predicted model, not a curated record. Lineage: Eukaryota; Metazoa; Chordata; Mammalia; Rodentia; Bathyergidae.
UUUGUGUAAAUCCUGCUUGCUAUAUUCCCAGGGAAACUCCAAUGAAAGUAAGCCUCGUAGAUGUAAAAAGAGGUAUAUAAAGAAGAACAAACUUCUAUUCUGUGUUCUAGAGACUGACAGAAAUCACUCACUGAGCUGCAGGCAUUAAAGGCUGAUUUCCUCCUUCUUCGUGUGUCAAAGUGUUCUGUUUGGGUAUCCCCAGAGUUUCCUGCUUCAUUGGCAUAUGACUCACAUGAGCUGCAUUCGGAACCCAGCUCUGACAGCAGCCUUGUCCAGGACCCAUGGGCCUGUCAGCUCCUCAGGCUUUGCGCUGAAUUUUCAGAUGGACAGGCUGAGACUCAGAGAGAUGGUGACUUGCUGAAGCCAAACUGAGUCAAUGAUGAAACCACAGCCAGUUCUAGGGGACCUUACAGUGGAAGUCUGCAACUUCUACAUCAUCCUCAGGCAGCCUCCUCCCCAGCCCCCACCCUGACUCCUUCAAGGCAGCCUCAGGAUCCCUAGCCCCACAUUAGCACCACAGCUGAGCUGGGGACAAAGGCGCUAUCACUCCUCUUUGGCUUCCUCCAUCACAGGUGACUCCACGGCCAUCCCCAGGGGCCCAGAAUAAUUCUAGAUUUGGGAGAAAGAGGGAAAUGUGUUCUUCAGCCCCAGGGCCCAAGCUGGGCCAGGCUCUCUAGGGAGACAAAACCAGAGCCCACAAAAUGGGAUUCUGCAGGAAGAGCAGAAGAGCCAUGACUGAGUGCAGCAUCUUCUUCCUCUCCGCUCCUGAUCGGGGGAGCGAUGCACUCAUUAACCCUGGGCCGGUACUGGGGACAUUGGCUGCAGGCACUGCUUCUGUGGGCCUGGGUGAGCCAGGGCUUGGUUUCGUGGUGGGGCUGUAUCUGUGUGUCCUGGGCAAGCCCCUUUGCCUCUCUGAGCCUGUUUC